ACCUCUGUAGCUCAGUUGGUUAGAGCGUUGCACCGGAAUCGCAGGGCCGCAGGUUUGAUUCCUGCCAGAGGGC
Molecule: transfer RNA, 73 nt
Filed under: Paramuricea clavata
Lineage: Eukaryota; Metazoa; Cnidaria; Anthozoa; Malacalcyonacea; Plexauridae
Rfam family: tRNA
About the family: Transfer RNA (tRNA) molecules are approximately 80 nucleotides in length.
Source: Rfam by way of RNAcentral